Vicia villosa (hairy vetch) is the source of this 1121-nucleotide long non-coding RNA. RefSeq lists it as uncharacterized. The record is from RefSeq and is a predicted model, not a curated record. NCBI's taxonomy places the organism in Eukaryota, Viridiplantae, Streptophyta, Magnoliopsida, Fabales, Fabaceae. The transcript has 3 exons.
GUGGAGUUAUGGCUUUUCUGCUCCUUCAUGUAUUGCUGCCAUUGGCUUUUCUGCUUCUUCAUGUAUUGCUGCCAUUGGCUUUUCUGCUCCUUCAUGUAAUGAAUUAGUAUCCUUUUUGUGAAUUUUGUCUAACUGUUUUGAAUCUCCAGGAUAGGACCUUGGUUAUGGUUAUGAUGACCUUGAAAUGUACUUGGGCUGCAAUGGUCCUUAUAAUACUACCUCUGCCUUAUGUUAUCUUGGUCUGAACUGAUAAUUUUAAAUGCCUUUUAUGAACUGACAUGUUAGAAUAGCUUGCUAAUUAGAUAAUAACAGAGGAAAAGUUCAAGCAUUGUAGUGCAGCUUAUAAUAAUUCAUCACCACUUCUUUGAAAUGUUGUUAAUUUCUUUGUAUUCAUAAGACAAUCACCAACGAUCAGGGCGGUAACUACAAAACGGCAAUCUCAAUAUGGGUAAUGGGUUCAAAACCAUAGAGCCUGAUGUCUCAUAAUGAGAAAUGUGAUUUUGGAGAAUUUUUGGUUUAUUUUGAAGAAAAUGUAUUGAAGAAUAAAAAAUUUACAAUCUCAAUAUGGGUAAUGGGUUCAAUGUCACCGAAAUUUCAUCUAUCUUAUUGAUGAAUUGUGUUUUUUAAAUCUAAAUAUUAAAAUCCUAUGGUUGGAGGAAUUUUAUUUUUGAUAGAAUUUACUUGGUGAAAAGGACAUGCAUCAAAGUGAAUAGAGGAUCAGUUGCUGUGAGUAUCGAUGGAGUGUGUUAAUUUUCUUAUACCCAAAUACAGGUGAUUCCUUGUGCUGUGCUGUCUUUGUUCGUUCAUCCCACAACCCAGCAUCAUACUAUUAACCAGAUUUUCUGGGCUUUUUGUGUUUAUCUUGAAGCUGUAUCAGUUCUACCUCAAUUGCGAGUCAUGCAGAACACAAAGAUUGUUGAACCAUUCACAGCACACUAUGUUUUUGCCCUUGGAAUUGCAAGGUUCUUGAGUUGUGCACAUUGGGUCCUCCAGGGUUUUGGAAAUGUAGGUUCUUGGGCUGCACAAUUGAUUGAUGAGAAACCUGCUGUUGGGUUACUUCUCUAUAUGAAGUGAUCCAGUCGUCGUCAUCAAUAUCAGUUUUUGCCUGUUGUGAAUGAGGU